UGCGUAGGCGGAUUAUUAAGUCAGUGGUGAAAGUUUGCGGCUCAACCGUAAAAGUGCCAUUGAUACUGGUAGUCUUGAGUACAGUAGAGGUAGGCGGAAUUUAUGGUGUAGCGGUGAAAUGCAUAGAUACCAUAAAGAACACCGAUAGCGAAGGCAGCUUACUAUACUGAGACUGACGCUGAGGCACAAAAGCGUGGGGAGCGAACAGGAUUAGAUACCCUGGUAGUCC
RNAcentral lists this ribosomal RNA (229 nucleotides) under uncultured bacterium. RNAcentral describes it as "partial 16S ribosomal RNA". It matches the Rfam family "Bacterial small subunit ribosomal RNA", at positions 568 to 796 of the family's 1533-position model. The record is from RNAcentral.